GAAUAUUGGACAAUGGGCGCAAGCCUGAUCCAGCCAUGCUGCGUGGGUGAUGAAGGCCCUAGGGUUGUAAAGCCCUUUCGGCGGGGAAGAUAAUGACGGUACCCGCAGAAGAAGCCCCGGCUAACUUCGUGCCAGCAGCCGCGGUAAUACGUAGGGUGCGAGCGUUAUCCGGAAUCAUUGGGCGUAAAGAGCUCGUAGGCGGUUCAGCAAGUCGGCUGUGAAAGUCUGAGGCUCAACCUCAGAAUUGCAGUCGAUACUGCUGUGACUCGAGUCCGGUAGAGGAGAACGGAAUUCCCGGUGUAGCGGUGAAAUGCGCAGAUAUCGGGAGGAACACCAGUAGCGAAGGCGGUUCUCUGGGCCGGCACUGACGCUGAGGAGCGAAAGCGUGGGGAGCAAACAGG
Molecule: ribosomal RNA, 401 nt
Filed under: uncultured bacterium
Lineage: Bacteria
Description: bacterial SSU rRNA
Rfam family: Bacterial small subunit ribosomal RNA
Source: RNAcentral